AAAUUGAAGAGUUUGAUCAUGGCUCAGAUUGAACGCUGGCGGCAGGCCUAACACAUGCAAGUCGAACGGUAACAGGAAACAGCUUGCUGCUUUGCUGACGAGUGGCGGACGGGUGAGUAAUGUCUGGGAAACUGCCUGAUGGAGGGGGAUAACUACUGGAAACGGUAGCUAAUACCGCAUAACGUCGCAAGACCAAAGAGGGGGACCUUCGGGCCUCUUGCCAUCGGAUGUGCCCAGAUGGGAUUAGCUAGUAGGUGGGGUAACGGCUCACCUAGGCGACGAUCCCUAGCUGGUCUGAGAGGAUGACCAGCCACACUGGAACUGAGACACGGUCCAGACUCCUACGGGAGGCAGCAGUGGGGAAUAUUGCACAAUGGGCGCAAGCCUGAUGCAGCCAUGCCGCGUGUAUGAAGAAGGCCUUCGGGUUGUAAAGUACUUUCAGCGGGGAGGAAGGGAGUAAAGUUAAUACCUUUGCUCAUUGACGUUACCCGCAGAAGAAGCACCGGCUAACUCCGUGCCAGCAGCCGCGGUAAUACGGAGGGUGCAAGCGUUAAUCGGAAUUACUGGGCGUAAAGCGCACGCAGGCGGUUUGUUAAGUCAGAUGUGAAAUCCCCGGGCUCAACCUGGGAACUGCAUCUGAUACUGGCAAGCUUGAGUCUCGUAGAGGGGGGUAGAAUUCCAGGUGUAGCGGUGAAAUGCGUAGAGAUCUGGAGGAAUACCGGUGGCGAAGGCGGCCCCCUGGACGAAGACUGACGCUCAGGUGCGAAAGCGUGGGGAGCAAACAGGAUUAGAUACCCUGGUAGUCCACGCCGUAAACGAUGUCGACUUGGAGGUUGUGCCCUUGAGGCGUGGCUUCCGGAGCUAACGCGUUAAGUCGACCGCCUGGGGAGUACGGCCGCAAGGUUAAAACUCAAAUGAAUUGACGGGGGCCCGCACAAGCGGUGGAGCAUGUGGUUUAAUUCGAUGCAACGCGAAGAACCUUACCUGGUCUUGACAUCCACAGAACUUUCCAGAGAUGGAUUGGUGCCUUCGGGAACUGUGAGACAGGUGCUGCAUGGCUGUCGUCAGCUCGUGUUGUGAAAUGUUGGGUUAAGUCCCGCAACGAGCGCAACCCUUAUCCUUUGUUGCCAGCGGUCCGGCCGGGAACUCAAAGGAGACUGCCAGUGAUAAACUGGAGGAAGGUGGGGAUGACGUCAAGUCAUCAUGGCCCUUACGACCAGGGCUACACACGUGCUACAAUGGCGCAUACAAAGAGAAGCGACCUCGCGAGAGCAAGCGGACCUCAUAAAGUGCGUCGUAGUCCGGAUUGGAGUCUGCAACUCGACUCCAUGAAGUCGGAAUCGCUAGUAAUCGUGGAUCAGAAUGCCACGGUGAAUACGUUCCCGGGCCUUGUACACACCGCCCGUCACACCAUGGGAGUGGGUUGCAAAAGAAGUAGGUAGCUUAACCUUCGGGAGGGCGCUUACCACUUUGUGAUUCAUGACUGGGGUGAAGUCGUAACAAGGUAACCGUAGGGGAACCUGCGGUUGGAUCACCUCCUUACCUUAAAGAAGC
RNAcentral lists this ribosomal RNA (1554 nucleotides) under Escherichia coli. RNAcentral's name for it is "bacterial SSU rRNA". It matches the Rfam family "Bacterial small subunit ribosomal RNA". Lineage: Bacteria; Pseudomonadati; Pseudomonadota; Gammaproteobacteria; Enterobacterales; Enterobacteriaceae. The record is from RNAcentral.